RNAcentral lists this ribosomal RNA (434 nucleotides) under uncultured bacterium. RNAcentral describes it as "partial 16S ribosomal RNA". It matches the Rfam family "Bacterial small subunit ribosomal RNA", at positions 29 to 507 of the family's 1533-position model. The record is from RNAcentral.
AGCGAACGCUGGCGGCAGGCCUAACACAUGCAAGUCGAACGAACCUUUCGGGGUUAGUGGCGGACGGGUGAGUAACACGUGGGAACGUGCCUUUAGGUUCGGAAUCACUCAGGGAAACUUGUGCUAAUACCGAAUGUGCCCUUCGGGGGAAAGAUUUAUCGCCUUUAGAGCGGCCCGCGUCUGUUUAGCUGGUUGGUUGAGGUAAUGGCUCACCAAGGCGACGAUCAGUAGCUGGUCUGAGCGGAUGAUCAGCCAGAUUGGGACUGAGACACGGCCCAAACUCCUACGGGGGGCAGCAGUGGGUAAUAUUACGGAAUGAGCGAAAGCGUGACGCAGCCAUGCCGGGUGAAUGAUGAAGGUCUUAGGAUUGUAAAAUUCUUUCACCGGAGACGAUAAUGACGGUACCCGGUGAAGAAGCCCCGGCUAACUACGUG